RNAcentral lists this transfer RNA (66 nucleotides) under Anthias woodsi (swallowtail bass). RNAcentral's name for it is "tRNA-Cys". It matches the Rfam family "tRNA". Rfam says of the family: Transfer RNA (tRNA) molecules are approximately 80 nucleotides in length. The record is from RNAcentral. Lineage: Eukaryota; Metazoa; Chordata; Actinopteri; Perciformes; Anthiadidae.
AGUCCCGAGGUGUUUAACAUAUCAGAUUGCAAAUCUGAAGAGGAAGAAUAGACUCUUCCGGGACUU